GACGACGCUGGCGGCGUGGAUUAGGCAUGCAAGUCGGACGGUAGGGCUUUAUCGUAAGAUAGAGUUUGAGAGUGGCGAACGGGUGAGUAACACGUAGGAAUCUACCCUUAAGACGGGGGACAACCCAGGGGAAACUUGGGCUAAUACCGGAUGAGAGUGCGAGAGAUUGCAUUUAAAAGGAUGGCGAAAGUUAUCGCUUAGGGAUGAGCCUGCGGUCUAUUAGUUAGUUGGUGGGGUAAGAGCUCACCAAGGCGAUGAUAGAUAGGCGGCCUUAACGGGUGGUCGCCCACACUGGGAUUGAGAUACGGCCCAGACUCCUACGGGAGGCAGCAGUCGAGAAUAGUCUACAAUGGCCGGAAGGCUGAUAGUGCGACGCCGCGUGAACGAGGGAGCCCUUCGGGGUGUAAAGUUCUUUUCUAUACGAGCAGUGCUAUAUAUAUGGAUAGUAUAUAUAGAGGGAUAGUAGUAUAGGAAUAAGCAACGGCUAACUCCGUG
RNAcentral lists this ribosomal RNA (495 nucleotides) under uncultured bacterium. RNAcentral describes it as "bacterial SSU rRNA". It matches the Rfam family "Bacterial small subunit ribosomal RNA", at positions 33 to 507 of the family's 1533-position model. The record is from RNAcentral.